ACGGCACGCACAAAGCAUCGAUGAGCACCAUGCAUGGAUCAUCACAGCGAAGACGUGCUUAGCUUGCGUAACCAGUAUGUAUCGUCGGAGUAGCUAGCCGAUGAAUUAGUAGCUGUAGUUCUUGACGAACAUGCCCUCCUUGGCCUCGGCGGCCUCGCCGUCGGAGGUGUACUUGCCGAGCUGCGCCAGCGAGUUGGCCUUGGCGCGCAGCAGCAGCGCGUCCUGCGCCGCCUUGACGUUCUCCGGCACGCCGCCCCACGUCUUGAGGCAGGUGUUCUGCAGCGCCCGCGCGUAGGAGAAGGACACGUGCCACGGGUUGGGCCCCUGGUUCAUGGCGUUGAGGUUCUGCGUCGCCUCCACCUCCGACUGCCCGCCGGAGAGGAACAUGAUGCCGGGGACGGAGGGCGGGAUGCGGCGGUGGAGGAGCUUCAGGGUGUACUCGGCGACCUGCUCCGGCGUGGCCCGGUCCUUAGCCUCGGCGCCCGGCGUCACCAUGGAUGGCUUGAGCAGGAUGCCCUCGAACAUGACGUUGUUCUCCGCCAUGGCGUAGAAGGUCUCGGCCCACACCUUCUGCGCCACCUCGAAGGUCCGCUCGAUGCCGUGCUCGCCGUCCAGCAGGAUCUCCGGCUCUACGAUCGGCACAAGUCCGUUGUCCUGCUCGGUCGAUUCCAUUCCAUCGGUGUUAGCUUUUAUUAAUUAGCUGGAUGAACUAUCUCCAUGGCUAGAAGCAAGCAAGAAGGCGUACCUGCGAGAUGGCGGCGUAGCGGGCGAGCCCCCAUGCGGCCUCCUUGACGGCGAGCUCGGAUGGCCCGUUGGGGAUGCUGACGACGGUGCGCCACUUGGCGAAUCGGGCGCCCUGCUGGUAGUAGGCGGCCUCGCGGGCGGCGAGGCCGUCGAGGCCCUGGCACCAGGACUCGUCGUUGGAGCCGGCGAGCGGGACGAGGCCCUUGUCGACCUUGAUCCCGGGCACGAUGCCCUGCUCGGUGAGGAUGUCGACGAUCCGGCGGCCGUCGACGGCGGACUGGUAGAGCGUCUCCUCGAAAAGGAUGGCGCCGGAGAUGUAGUUGCCCAGCCCCGGCGCGGUGACCAGCAGCGUCCUGUACGCCUGCCGGUUGGCCUCCGUGUUCUCCAGCCCGAUGGAUGCCAGCCGCUUCCCGCACGUCGCGUUCGACUCGUCCAUGGCCAGGAUGCCGCGCCCAGGCGACGCGAUCGUUUUCUGCAACUCACCAUGUCAUCAUUAUUUCUUUCAGCAAGCAAGAUGGCGAUAGUGACAGUUUCGAUCGGCCACUAGUGAAGAAACGACGAACGCACCGCUGUCUUGACGAGCUCAUCGGCGUAGGCGCUGGCGCGGACGACCACGGAGACGGUGACCGGCCGGGGCGCGGUGAGCUGCCUGGCGGCGCCCCAUUCCGACUUCUUGGGAAGGAAGGAGGACUUGAGCAGGGUAGCAGAGGCCAUCUUCUUCUUCCUCGAUGCUCUUGCUGUCUUCUGAAGUUCAGCUCAGCUCAGGCUGGCAGUGGCCUCAGGUUCACACCAGUGAACAACGAAUGGAGUGUCUCCUUCCUUGGGGUGAGAGCUGCAGCCACAUCACAUAUUUAAGGUUUCUGCCAGGUAAACCAGUGGUGGCUGGACAAGGGAAGGAAGGAUAAAAAGACAUGCGUUGUGAGGCUGAGGUUGCUGCCCUCUGGAUUUCAGUGGAUGGAGUGGCUGCUUCUCACUGGUUCCCAUGGUCUCUUCAAAAGAGUAGGACCAUGCACGGUUAUCACCUCCUUUUUGUUUUGUCCUGAUCCGGAUUCCUGAUUCUAGGGAAGAUCUUUUCUGUGAUUUCCAUCCCAUUUUAACUGUGUGCUGUAAAAAAAUGACAAAAAGUUCAGAGAAAAAGGGACAGCUCAACUCUGGAAUCUUCGUGGCAGCUCAACCAUGGGAUUGCCUGAAUGUUGCUGGCCUCAAAAUUUCAAUAAGGAUCCCAGUUUAUUAUAUAUAUAUCUAUAAAAAAAAAGGAUCCCGGCUUUGGGUGAUGAGGCUGACAGGGAGGUUUCUGUGGGCGCGCCAAACCAGCAACUGUUGCCCGUAGAUGCGCGCCUGCGGUGGACAUCCAUCCAUCGAUUCCCACGGUUUGUCAUCGUGGUUUUCGCAGAACGCCGCGGAUUUCUUGGGGGCUUCUGGUGAUGCCAACGGCUGCAGCUACGAGUUGUUUGUUGCCAUGCGCGGUGUGGAGAGCUCUGCAGGCAAGCAAUGGCGAUCCAGGGGCGUCCGGUCAUGUCGCGCUCCUGCAUAUCAUCUGUCACAACACAUGAGACAUUGAUCCACGUAUACGGAAAUGGACGAACUGUUCUAAUCUGUCGUCUACGGAAAUGGACGAACUGUUCCAAUCUUUCGUAUACGGAAAUGGACGAACUGUUCCAACCUGUCGUAUACGGGAAUAGACGAACUGUACCCAUCUUUCAUUGGUUGUAUUCAAGAAAUUACUGGAUGGAGAUACACAUGAUUCUUUCCUGGACAACCAGAGCAAAUACCUGACAAAUGAUUGUAACCAUCCCUGAUAUUGUAAUGUGAAAAACAGAGAUUUUGAGAAAUCAUCAAUAAGAAAUAGGUUUGUGAUGAGAACAUGUUUACAAAUGGAUUGGUAAUUCAAAUGGACAGAUCUAGAUGCCUACCUUAUAGGACAACGGCAGUGUACACUGGAAACAAAAAUCAGUAAUGGUACAAACCUGAGAAUUAUCAACAACAUUCAUGACAAGACAACAGGACUCCUAAGUAGCAUCAUAGCACCUAAAUUUUGUUACACUUGUACCAUAGUAUGCUCUUUCCACUAACUACUAGUACCACUGCAGAAAUUUAACAGCUUUUUGGUGGGCAUUGGUAAUAGAUCAACUGCUCAAUUGGCAUAUGGGAGCAUCUGGAAAGCAGAAUCCUCUGAUACCAAUUAGCUCUCAGCGGGCUUCAAAAGUUCACCAAGAUCCACAUGCAAGCUGUUCCUCAUGGUCCGCCUUCCUGCUCCACCAGCAUUGCCCUUUCUCAUCAUCGCCACAAACUCGCUAUAAUCAAUUUGUCCAUCCUGAAAAAUGAUGCAUAAUAAUGAGACAAUAGGACAAGUAUGGAGAAGGAUUCAAAGAACAAGAGGGGUUAAGAAGACCAACAUUGUUUUGAUCCACAUCUUUGAUCAUAUCCUCAAGAUGAACAUCAGAAAGACCAAACUGUUGGCAUGCUUGCGAGAGCUCAUCAAUUGUUAUGAAGCCACUCCCAUCCUUGUCAAAGAAUGCAAACGCUGACACCAAGCUUUCCUCCCUCUCCAGUUUAUUCAUGUGCAAUGUAGCUGCCAAGAACUCUCCAUAGUCAAUGGUUCCACUGUUGUCAAUAUCAGCCUGAUAUACAAGACAAACCCAGAUUACAAUCUCAACGGUCCAUACAAUCAAAGGCUGCUACAGUGCAUCUAUUUUAUGUGGACAAUAGACUCGACGCAAUAGUAGUACUUACUGCAUCCAUUAAAGCCUGGAUUUCAGGUUCCAUCAGAUCCGACCCCACCCUUUUCAGACCGUUCUUCAGUUCAUCAUAAGUUAUCGUCCCACUGUUGUCAGUAUCGAUCAUUUUGAACAACUCCUUUAAGCCCCCGAUCUCCUCCUCAGAUAGGCUUUCAGCAAUCACCUGCACGAACAAAAAGAUUCAUCUGAAAAGAUCAAUUUCCAUGGUCAUUGCACAUACCAUCACCUCUUAUUAAACAUUUGCAACCUUAUGCCAUGCCUGUUAUGCAAGAAACCAGUUAAUCUAGAGUUCAAGCAAACAAUAUUGUAAAACCCCAUAGUGAAAAACCGAGCAUUAGUUGUUUUAGAAUUGUGUCAGACACUUAAGCCAAAACAAAGAACCUCUUCUCUUCCAACAAAAAGAAUCUGUUUUGAAACUCCUGGUCCCUUCAUUCCUUGCAUCAGAUGACCACUGACCAUACUGCCCAUGAAACCUCCUUUCCCAAAAUCAAAUGCUUCCUAAUGCCCUUAUCUGAGAACACUUGGUCAAAUCCGGUGUGCCAUUGCUGCUACCAAUGCAACACAGCCCCAGAUCUUAGCAUUUACUGCUUCCUGUCACUAAUAUUGAAAUUGUCCUCCCGAAUCAACAAACAAACAAGGACAACAAGAGGUGAACAUGACCAAGGCAUUGUUGAACUAAGAGGGUGAUGGUAGCGUAGUCACCAAGGUGGGUCAAUGGGUGGAACUAGACAUGAGAUGUUGGCAGUGCAAACCCCACUCAAUCAAGCAAUAGAAGUGCACAGUUGUAAUGUGUAAAACAAUGAGGUCCAGUCGCUAACCAGUUUGCAGCUCACCACCAUACAGAUGCUCACCACCUACAGUCACUCACCUUUCUGACAUCUUACCGUUGCUACCAUUAGUGGCCUCCUGCUGCUAGUGUCAAGCAGUCUUUAGCCAUGGGUUCAAUGGCUUUUGUGGUCGGUAGUCAUAGAAUACCAUGGCUGGCAUCCAGGUCUCGCACUAGUGCAGCUGAAGGGAUUGGAGACAACAGGGUUGGAUCUGGGAGGACUGUUCUUUUGGAAAGAAACAGGUUCUGUGAAUUGUAUGAAAGGUGACAUGUAGGCCAGCUUUUUUGUUUAUUGGGACUGUGUGAGUGUGUGACAUCGAUGGUUGGUGUGGCAGAACUGCCAUUAAAAAGAACAGGUGGCUAAAUGACUGGUUUCAAAAGCUUUGGUUUUUAAGCAGAUGUGUGUAAAUUGGGCUUUCUAAAAAUUAAAGGGGACAAAUACAGAUUUAAAGUGCACAAAAAAUCCAGUUAACAUGGAAAACCAGGAGAAAGAGAAAGGAAAAGAUUCAUAUGAAGUUAACUUGAGUGCACAACACAGUAGGCAGUAAGGCAGUGUCAUAAUAGAAAUGACGCACUGACCGUAACAUUGCGGUACUGAAUUUCGUUUGCAACAUAAUCACACAUCAAUGGGAUAAAAGUUCUUAUUUGAGAAAAAUGAAGUUCUUCUUACCCUCAAUGCCAUCUUCUUAAGCUUGUUCAUUGCAGAAAAGUUUUUCAGCCUUGACAAAACAGCAGAAUCAAUAGGCUUAUCAGGUGCGACAGCAUCAUCAACAAUCCAUGGAUGACCUGGCAUAGUCAAUGUCACCAUGUUUAAUAAGAACGAACUUCCAUGACCCAGGAGCACAAGCAUGCAUACAGAAUCUCAGACAGAGAGAGGGAGGGCAUGUAGGCAGAAAACUUACAUAGAACCUCAUGAGCAGUCAAUCUCUUCGUAGGAUCCCGGAUAAGCAUCUUACGGACUAGAUCUUUAGCACUAUCAGAGAUACUUGGCCAUGGUUCAGAUUCCAAGUCAAGUUUGCCUCGCAAAAUCUGCCUGAAGAUUCCAGCUUCACUUUCUGAAAGGAGGGGGAAACAGGAAGAUUUUACAUAUGGAAACAUGCUAAUAUCAGUAAACGACAAUCAAUCUCAACGUAGAAAUUCAAUGGUUGGAAUAACAAACAAUUUACCUGCCCAGAAUGGGGGUACACCACAUAGCAAAAUAUACAGAAUAACUCCAGCACUCCAGACAUCAGCUUCUGGGCCAUAGCAUUUCUGGAGCACCUCAGGGGCAACAUAAUAGGGGCUACCAACAACGUCAGCAAAUUUGUCACCUGGAGAUAUAGCAAGGAAUAUCUUUCAGUGUGUGUUCUGUUAAUCACUUCAAGCAAAACAGAAUAAACCACAGCAUUAACUGAAGACUUCAUUAAACACUACUUUAACCACAACACCACAUUUGUCACAAAAUCUGUUACAGUUCUACGAGAGAAGACAGUUCUUGCCAUCAACCUUGAAAGGCUUAUUGGCCUAUUGCUAUUGACAAGUAUUCUAGUUGCAACGCAGAUUUAUUUGUCCCCAGUACUAAUAUAUACUAGUUCUCAUGUUAGCAACAUUUUGACAGGGAUUCUUUAUAUUCUAACAAAAUGAGCCACAUAUGGAAAUGAAAUGUUAACAUGCUUGCUGGUGUAUCAAAACUAUCUAUGAAGAGCAGUACUCCCUACCAAACCCAAUGCUAGCAGUUAGCGCGCAUACCAUUGCCGCAUCAAGUGAACCAAAUAGCAACAUUGUACAGCACAAAUAUUAAACGUCAGCACAAACAAUUGCACAGAUACGCACCGGGCUUGUAGAACACCGAUAGCCCAAAAUCAGUGGCCUUGAGCGGGGCAUCCUCUGCAGUGCUCGCGAAGAGGAAGUUCUCCGGCUUGAGGUCCCGGUGCAUGACGCCGAGCGAGUGGCAUCCCUCCACCACCCCGACGAUCGUCCUGAUGAGCUGCGCGGCGGCGCGCUCGCUGUAGUGUCCCUUGGCGACGAUGCGGUCGAAGAGCUCGCCGCCGGCGCAGAGCUCCAUGACGAGAUGCACGAAGAGCGCGUCCUCGUAGGCGCCGCGGAUGCGGACGACGUUGGGGUGCUCGGAAAGGUGGUGCAUGAUCUGGAUCUCGCGCCACACGUCCUCGUAGUCCUCGCGGCACAGCAGUUUGCGCUUGGGGAUGGAUUUGCAGGCGUACUCGGCGCCGUCCGCCUUGCCCACGCACUGGUACGUGGUGCCGAACUGCCCCUGCCCCAGCUUCUUCCCGAUGCGGUAGUGGUCGCGCACGUUGUCCGUCUUGUGCGGCAGCACCGACGCCGGCCGCCCCGCCGACCCCGUCGUCACCGGCGGCGGCAGCCGGGCGUGCGCAUUGGCGCCGCCCGCCUUUCCCCUGCCCGGGCCUUGCGGGUCCGGCUGCAUUUCCUUUCGCCGGCGGUGAUUCCUCCCCGGAUCAAGAACCGUAACCGUACGGACGGCCUGCCCUUCCUGGAAAAAACCGCGGCGAGGCUCGACGAAUUCGCACCGUCGACCAAUCAGAAAUGGAAACCUUUUCCAAUUCCGGCUACUAUUCUGGGAGCUUUCCGGGGAAAUCUACACGGAUUGGAACCGAAUAACUCGAAGGAUUGGAUCUUGGCGUGGGGGGCUCUCGCCUUUGGGGAUUCCUGGGGAAAUGGCCGACGAAUUGGGCGCGACAGAGGAGCUUUAGCGGAGGUUUAUGCGGCCGCGCAGGCCGAAGAACAGAGGAGAAACGCCAACAGGAAGGCGAAGAUGAGGAGCAACGGGAUUGCUCUGUUCUUCUCUCCCCUCUGGGAUUGAUGGAUUGGUUCCUGCGGGGGAUUUAAGGAGAGGUCACAUGCCAAGGUUGGAUUUUUCCUCCAUGUGAGGGUGGAAAUCUACACGGCUAGGUUUGGUGAUUGCUCGGGCCUUGGAUUGGGUCUACAAAUGGGAACGGAUCGCUAGGGCAUGUGGGGGAGCAUGUCGGUGGUUAUCGCCUUCGCCUCCCUUCGCGAGGAGAGAGCGCAGAGGGGGGAGGGGGGAGGAGAGAGGAGGAAGACAACGUGGUCGGAAACUACCCCUUUCCAUUACUUUUCUAUUUCUUUUAUUUAUUUAUCUAAUAGUUUAUCACUACAUUGUUGGAGCUUCUGUUUAAUAUACUAAAAUUUUUGUAUCAUCUUUUUAUACAAAUAUACUGAAGUUAUCUGAAAACUUGAAGGUCUAUUUAGGGCACCCUUAUUAUCAAAUUAAUCGUGGCACGUCGUCAGGAUUCGAAAUUAUUUCCAUAAUUUGUUUUCAGUUGGUAAGAUGCUACGUUAGCACAAUUAUCCAAUCCUACGAGGUGCCAAUAAUGGGAAAACUCAUCUACAACUAGUUCAUCAAUUAUGAUAGGCGUCGAUCACCAAAUUCCCAGCUUAUCCAAUUUGAGGCUGUGGGACUAUUGCUAUGCAGGACUGUAGGAGUAUGGCAAGAAACUCUCCAACCUCUCAAUGAGGCCUCCGUUCAAUUAGACUGAGAGCUCAUAUCUCACCGGGCCCUAUCAUGAUUGUUGAAGGCAAUGGCAUGCUAGUGCUACAAUACAAUAUGCACAUUUCUUCUAAUGAGUUGCCACUCUUUGGCACAUGUCCUUGUACAUUUUCACCGAUCAGACAUUGCAAUGUUUUCUUUCGUGAAAGUGGCUAGGUGUUAAAAAUAGUAAUCUUGUUGGGCCUGUUGAUUAAUUAAAACUUAUUUGACAAUGAAAGCCAACCUGCGCAAAGACGAAAAUGAAGCCCAUUUGCCAUGGCACUGGUAAGUCCUGACCUAUCUCGAAAGAUCAUUUCCGUGGGGGGUACCGUACUAUAGUGGUAUGGAACUACCACUUUUGCAGACGCAUAUCCUAAUGAUUCCUUUUAAAAUUUUGCAGAGAUGCAUGAGAAGGAAGGUGCCAAGACGUGCAAUGGGAUGAACACUAAUACUAAACAAAGACACAACACGCAUGUAUAAAAAUAAAAUCUAAAACGAUAGUGAAAGCCGUUCAUUUUCAAUGGGAUAACAUGCGUCCCCACUAACCACGCAUUGAUCUAAUGAUCUCCUUGUCGUCUUUGACUUUUUGCACCAAACUCUUGGGCAAGUCUUCCGACGAACAAAAGCGUUAGAAAACAUUGCAGAUAUGAUAGGACUCUGUCCAUAACCUUCUGAAAUUGAUGUUGCCUGCUUACACGAAUAAAAUGCCAAAUAAGCAUAGUGACCCGUCUUGAUUUCUGUUCAUGUAUACACUGUACUACAUUUGUCAAAUUAAUCUUCGAUGUUGCUCCAAGUUUUAAGCCAGCUAGUGUUCUAACAUGUUAAUCAUCAUUAGGCUUGCGGUCUCGUCUGUGUUCUUUUCCCUUUUGAAAUUAUAAUGCCAGGUGGCAAUAAUGAACAUAAAAAAACAAGAGCACAUUAUUUUGUGUGUCGAUCAUACCCAACAGUCAUGAUGUAAUUUAUUCCCCAUCAUCUCAUAGCCUCUUUUUAUUAAAAAAAAAAAGUGUGUCAAGUUAAACGAAUCGUGAUGCGGACAUUUGGAUAUCAUCUUGAUCGUCGUCUCUUCAAGGAAAACCAUAAUGCGAAUACUGGAGUGGUUGCUCGCAUUUUUUUUCUGAAUUUAUUUCAUGAAAAAGGAAUAGUUAUACCAUCUUCAUACAUAAAAGAAUUAUUAUUGUUUUAUUUUUUGAAAACAUAAGAGAAGAACCAAUGCUAUAGCCAUGACUCACAAAUUACAGGACGAAGCUGAUUUCAACGUAAGUGUAGAAUUUACUGUAAGAAUUACCACUUCUCUUUUGGAUUGGGGCAUUGGGCUGUGCAUUGGCAACUACGAGGCAGUCAGGUAGAGAUUAGUUAAAUAUCUAAUCACCGAUCAGUGUGAAUUAACUUUAUUAAUCUCCACUUGAACAAAGGUAGCCGACAUCAGCUUCGGCAAAGUAACAUAAACAAAGGGAAGCCAAGUCAGAACCAUUGCCUGUUCUCUGCGAGGGUUAGAGAGAAAAACAGCCAUUGCUAAAAGCAACAUGCCAUAUGAAUGGGUCAUGGAUUUAUCAGGAGGCACUGCCAAGAUCGUCAUGCCUCUCUUUUUUACGCUCAGGAAUCAUACCAAACCAUAUCAAGGAUAAAUUCUUUGCGCACAUGGCUCAACAGCAACAGAGAGAGCAAGAUAUGCUCUUUGGAGCUCUACUCUACAUUGCCACAAUUCCUUGCUUCAAAAAAACAUUACCAAAAGUCCAUUGUCAGUCAGAUUCAUGCUCACUAAUAUAUUUUUAACAUAUUUGACCGCGCAGUUUGCAAUCAGCCUAAUGGCCAAGUGGAGGAUGCUUUUUUUUAAGAGCAAUGCAAAUGGAGGAUUUUAUACAAAUUUGACCGGUCAAGCCUGAUGAAUCAUUCACAUGAUAGCUUCCUUUGACCAUAUGAUGCUAAGUUGCUAGCCACUGACCAAGAUUCAGAAAAUCGAAACCUGAUCUGGACAUGCUACGGUGUUGACAUUCCAGGAUAUUAUCAUGCGACUCCAGGAAAAACACAA
This 9839-nucleotide long non-coding RNA is filed under the name Setaria italica (foxtail millet). Its description in RNAcentral is "long non-coding RNA (SITA_LNC005517)". Lineage: Eukaryota; Viridiplantae; Streptophyta; Magnoliopsida; Poales; Poaceae. The record is from RNAcentral.